This 240-nucleotide unclassified non-coding RNA is filed under the name soil metagenome. Its description in RNAcentral is "partial contains 5.8S ribosomal RNA, internal transcribed spacer 2, and large subunit ribosomal RNA". The record is from RNAcentral.
AACGCACGAGACCUGCGGACCUGCGGAAGGAUCAUUACAGGACUCGCAAGACUCCUACAACCCUGUGAACUUAACUAUAAGCACGUUGCUUCGGCGGGUGUCUCGGCGAGGGUUCUCCCUCCCCGGGGCGCUAAGCCCGCCGGCAGCCUACUAUACUCUGUCUCUUUGCGUUGGCAUCUCGAGUACAAACAAACAAGUUAAAACUUUCAGCAAUGGAUCUCUAGAUCGGAAGAGCACACG